RNAcentral lists this ribosomal RNA (254 nucleotides) under uncultured bacterium. Its description in RNAcentral is "partial small subunit ribosomal RNA". It matches the Rfam family "Bacterial small subunit ribosomal RNA", at positions 26 to 285 of the family's 1533-position model. The record is from RNAcentral.
AGGAUGAACGCUGGCGGCGUGCUUAACACAUGCAAGUCGAGCGGAAAGGCCCUUCGGGGUACUCGAGCGGCGAACGGGUGAGUAACACGUGAGCAACCUGCCCUUAGCUUCGGGAUAGCUCCGGGAAACCGGAAUUAAUACCGAAUAUGAUUUUUGCUGACAUCAGCAGAAGUGGAAAGUUUUUCGGCUAGGGAUGGACUCGCGGCCUAUCAGCUAGUUGGUGAGGUAACGGCCCACCAAGGCGACGACGGGUA